RNAcentral lists this ribosomal RNA (497 nucleotides) under uncultured bacterium. RNAcentral's name for it is "partial 16S ribosomal RNA". It matches the Rfam family "Bacterial small subunit ribosomal RNA", at positions 28 to 507 of the family's 1533-position model. The record is from RNAcentral.
GAUGAACGCUGGCGGCGUGCCUAAUACAUGCAAGUCGAGCGAACGGACGAGAAGCUUGCUUUUCUGAUGUUAGCGGCGGACGGGUGAGUAACACGUGGAUAACCUACCUAUAAGACUGGGAUAACUUCGGGAAACCGGAGCUAAUACCGGAUAAUAUUUUGAACCGCAUGGUUCAAAAGUGAAAGACGGUCUUGCUGUCACUUAUAGAUGGAUCCGCGCUGCAUUAGCUAGUUGGUAAGGUAACGGCUUACCAAGGCAACGAUGCAUAGCCGACCUGAGAGGGUGAUCGGCCACACUGGAACUGGGACACGGUCCAGACUCCUACGGGAGGCAGCAGUAGGGAAUCUUCCGCAAUGGGCGAAAGCCUGACGGAGCAACGCCGCGUGAGCGAUGAAGGUCUUCGGAUCGUAAAACUCUGUUAUUAGGGAAGAACAUAUGUGUAAGUAACUGUGCACAUCUUGACGGUACCUAAUCAGAAAGCCACGGCUAACUACGUG